This 468-nucleotide ribosomal RNA is filed under the name uncultured bacterium. Its description in RNAcentral is "partial 16S ribosomal RNA". It matches the Rfam family "Bacterial small subunit ribosomal RNA", at positions 28 to 507 of the family's 1533-position model. The record is from RNAcentral.
GACGAACGCUGGCGGCGUGCUUAACACAUGCAAGUCGAACGGAAAGGCCCUGCUUUUGUGGGGUGCUCGAGUGGCGAACGGGUGAGUAACACGUGAGUAACCUGCCCUUGACUUUGGGAUAACUUCAGGAAACUGGGGCUAAUACCGGAUAGGAGCUCCUGCUGCAUGGUGGGGGUUGGAAAGUUUCGGCGGUUGGGGAUGGACUCGCGGCUUAUCAGCUUGUUGGUGGGGUAGUGGCUUACCAAGGCUUUGACGGGUAGCCGGCCUGAGAGGGUGACCGGGCACAUUGGGACUGAGAUACGGCCCAGACUCCUACGGGAGGCAGCAGUGGGGAAGAGUGCACAAGGGGCGGAAGCCUGAUGCAGCAACGCCGCGUGCGGGAUGACGGCCUUCGGGUUGUAAACCGCUUUCGCCUGUGACGAAGCGGGAGUGACGGUAAUGGGUAAAGAAGCACCGGCUAACUACGUG